Molecule: long non-coding RNA, 442 nt
Organism: Pleuronectes platessa (European plaice)
Lineage: Eukaryota; Metazoa; Chordata; Actinopteri; Pleuronectiformes; Pleuronectidae
Exons: 3
Source: RefSeq, a predicted model, not a curated record
CCAACACUGAAACACACGUCGUCUGAUCUGCUGAACCCGACUUGGUGUCAGUUGUUAUACGUGUUCUUUCUCAACUUGCGUUUCUGUGGGAAUCUGACCAGGGACGUCUUAAAAGAUGUACCUCGUAUGUAAUCCAUCCGAGGGAGUAAUUGGCCUGUGAUCAAGGAAAAAGGAAAAGCACAUGCAGACCACACCUCCCCGGGGAGCCAGGCAAGGCAUUAUGGGUAACGGGUUCAAGUGCGGGGGGUGAGGGUGAGAGCAGGCUCGAGCUCCGGGCUCUCGCCGCCUUUGUUCUCCUUCUUGCUCAAAGCCUGCCAGGUCCCACAACCACAGAGACGGACGGACAGAAGGACGGAGGGAGACACAGAUGAAGUGACGGAGAGAUGGGUGGUGGUAGGAAGACGUGACGAGCACAAGGAGGAGACGAGGACGAAGCAACAGA